RNAcentral lists this ribosomal RNA (253 nucleotides) under uncultured bacterium. RNAcentral's name for it is "partial 16S ribosomal RNA". It matches the Rfam family "Bacterial small subunit ribosomal RNA", at positions 524 to 776 of the family's 1533-position model. The record is from RNAcentral.
UACGAAGGGGGCUAGCGUUGCUCGGAAUCACUGGGCGUAAAGGGUGCGUAGGCGGAUUGCUAAGUCAGGGGUGAAAUCCUGGAGCUCAACUCCAGAACUGCCUUUGAUACUGAAGAUCUUGAGUUCGGGAGAGGUGAGUGGAACUGCGAGUGUAGAGGUGAAAUUCGUAGAUAUUCGCAAGAACACCAGUGGCGAAGGCGGCUCACUGGCCCGAUACUGACGCUGAGGCACGAAAGCGUGGGGAGCAAACAGG